This 740-nucleotide ribosomal RNA is filed under the name uncultured bacterium. RNAcentral describes it as "bacterial SSU rRNA". It matches the Rfam family "Bacterial small subunit ribosomal RNA", at positions 50 to 763 of the family's 1533-position model. The record is from RNAcentral.
CGAGCGAGCUUGCCUAGAUGAUUUUAGUGCUUGCACUAAAUGAAACUAGAUACAAGCGAGCGGCGGACGGGUGAGUAACACGUGGUUAACCUGCCCAAGAGACUGGGAUAACACCUGGAAACAGAUGCUAAUACCGGAUAACAACACUAGACGCAUGUCUAGAGUUUGAAAGAUGGUUCUGCUAUCACUCUUGGAUGGACCUGCGGUGCAUUAGCUAGUUGGUAAGGUAACGGCUUACCAAGGCAAUGAUGCAUAGCCGAGUUGAGAGACUGAUCGGCCACAUUGGGACUGAGACACGGCCCAAACUCCUACGGGAGGCAGCAGUAGGGAAUCUUCCACAAUGGACGAAAGUCUGAUGGAGCAACGCCGCGUGAGUGAAGAAGGGUUUCGGCUCGUAAAGCUCUGUUGGUAGUGAAGAAAGAUAGAGGUAGUAACUGGCCUUUAUUUGACGGUAAUUACUUAGAAAGUCACGGCUAACUACGUGCCAGCAGCCGCGGUAAUACGUAGGUGGCAAGCGUUGUCCGGAUUUAUUGGGCGUAAAGCGAGUGCAGGCGGUUCAAUAAGUCUGAUGUGAAAGCCUUCGGCUCAACCGGAGAAUUGCAUCAGAAACUGUUGAACUUGAGUGCAGAAGAGGAGAGUGGAACUCCAUGUGUAGCGGUGGAAUGCGUAGAUAUAUGGAAGAACACCAGUGGCGAAGGCGGCUCUCUGGUCUGCAACUGACGCUGAGGCUCGAAAGCAUG